Long non-coding RNA from Herpailurus yagouaroundi (jaguarundi), 5101 nucleotides. RefSeq lists it as uncharacterized. The record is from RefSeq and is a predicted model, not a curated record. NCBI's taxonomy places the organism in Eukaryota, Metazoa, Chordata, Mammalia, Carnivora, Felidae. The transcript is spliced from 2 exons.
ACAGAGCCUGAUGCAGGGCUCGAUCUUAUGACCCUGGGAUCAUGACCUGAGCCAAAAUCAAGAGUCAGACACUCAACCAACUGAGCCACCCAGGUGCUCCGGCAGGGCAUUACUUUUGACAGACUAUUUUUAAAGUGGCCCUAAUGUUCUCUUUCGAUAUAAAAGGGCGGGUAAAUUUCAUGCCCUGGAAGGCAGGGAAUCGCAGAGCUCUAGGUGUGGCAGCUGCCUCCCUGGGCACACUCGGGCACGUCAGCUCACCCCUUCCCUUGCUCUCAUGUGUGAGUGGGAGCCCUGCCUGACUCCCUGUAGAUGCGCCUGUGUCCAGCGCAAUGCAGACUGGAGCCUGACGCAGAGGGGAUGCGCCGAGUCGUGCAGGGCCUGCCUCACACAGAUGGCUUUGUCCCUCAGGCCUUGCCAUGUUCCGCUCUCCUUUAUUGAGUUCCGCUCACGCUUUCUGGGUCCUGUGACGUCAGCAGGGAGGUUCUCGUUGGUACUUUCCCCGGAACACUGGCAUCUCCCAGCAUCCCCACACGUUGUCGUAAAGCACUGUAGACGUGUCAGCGGGGUGUUCUACAGUUUCUGUUUGAUCGUGACGGAGAAGUAGACUGUGACCCUGACCUUUGUGAAUAAAGGGACGCACGUGAGUCUGCUUGUGUUCUCAGCGUCGUCGUGGGGGGUCCUCUACACCCUGCUGUGCAGGACCCGGUCGUGGGGGUCCUUCCUGCUUCGAGAAACGUGGUGUGGUGGUGGUUCAUUGUCCAUUGGCGGCCGGUUUGUUGUAAUGUAGAAAGCAGGUCUUCUUCCAGAGCGUCCUGCAGCCACACAGGGAUGCCGUGUUCUUUAGAUGUCCCGGGAAGAGUAGCUGUGCUGUGCAGGGGUGGGGUGGGGGCGUGGUGAUCCUCGCCUCGUCCACCCAGAGUUGGGCCUGAUGCACCGUGAAUUUCAUUUCCGCUUUGCUUCUCCUUUCUACUAUAAUCUGAAAUGGCCCCCACCUCCCUAAACUGGAGUUUUAAAAAGUUGAUCAGGUUUCUAGGGGAAGAAAAAUUUGCAGGUAUUAAAACUCACCUUAGUUUUUGAUUUCCAUCAUUAAGUUUCUGGUGUGGAUAAUUAGCAUUGGUCCCCACACACUUUCUCAGGGAAGCUGGUUGUGUUACUUAAAGUAUCACAGAUUCUUACUCCGUUUUAAUGUGCACCCCAAAGAAAUAGCCAGCAAGAUACUCAGAGGAGAGACUGGAGGCUGGUGCGUACCUGCAUCUUCCACGGAGUGCGGGCUCCAAGAGCACAUUCUUGUGCUGAGGAAGCAGAUACUGGAAUGUUUUAGAACUUGCGGGUCUCCAUCUGGAGGAGAGGGUUUAAUUGAACUUCUUAAGACGGGCAUUUCAAACGUUGCUGUCCUGCAAUUCUUUAUUACAACUUAGAAGCAAGUUAGUUCUGACCUAAUUGAGCUUUAAUGCCGUUCAGACAGUGGCAAAACCGUACGUUUUCUCUAGUCUGUUGUGUAAAUGUGGACAUAUACCAACAACUGCAUAAGGAACAAAACAGGUAUACUUACUUAGUCUGAAAGUCCCCCAUCCUUUAGUUGUGAAUUUUUAAGCAGUGCCAUGGGAGAUGGCUUUUCUUCCAGAUGACAUGGGUGUGGUUGCCACCAUCCCAGAGCUGUGACCCCCAAAGGGCAGUUGACCAAAACUGCUCCUAAACCUUGUGGUCACUGGUCUGUGAUUAAGACAUGCCAGUGUGUGUGGUUACAUGGUGCUGUGAUUGGGGGAAAUGCAAAGUGUGGUGCCUGGCCUUCACGGGGCCAGUUUACAAGGCCCCAGGAGACCAGCCUGGCAGGAUUUGGGGUCUGGUCUCUUUUCUCUGUUUGAAAACGUCUCUGAGCCCCAGCAUCUCUCCCUAUAUGGUUUAUUUCAACCUCCAAACUUCUCAUUUGUUUAUCCAGAAUACUACUACAAUUUCCCCUUUCUUUAAAGCACUCAGGAAAGAUGAUCAGUGUUUGCAAAAAUGUGUCAUCAGUAAGUGACAGUGUUGUGUGCACAGUGGUCAAGCUCAUGCCUGCCCUGAGGAUCCCUGCAUCAGGCUGUCCGCUGAUCACCUGGUCAGCGAGCUGCCUCGCACCCCAUUAUGUCAGGGUGCUGGCCGAUGAGCCUGGGGUCAUGACAGCAUUUGUUACUAACCAGUGUCCUCCCCGCUGCGCUGUGCUCCUGGAGGAGCUCUUGUCCUCUGGCUGUCGCUGGGGCAGUUUACUUCUCUGUGCAACCAGAGAGUGGCAUGGGACACAAUGCAAAGCGCAGAUUGCCACGUGUUCUGGGUUUGCACUGUUCCCAGUUGUCCAGCAGCCGCGCGAGCGAGCGUUCAGAGUGCGGAGUCCACCAGGGCCGCUGGAGCAGGGCCAAGGCCCGGGCCUUCUACUGGCCGCCUCCCAGGGCACGUGCACACCCCUGCAGCUUCAGUGUGGAUCCCAGAGAGCUGUCCUGCCAUUUCCCGUUUACCAUCAGAAAAGUCCAAACCCUUUUCCCUAGUUUCCGUGUCUACGUUAUUCGAAACAUCCUAAAAGUAUGUGUCUUGUGCUUUCCCUGUUUAUCAGUAGUUUAUGUAGUUGCUACACUGAGCUGGCCGUGGGGUGAAGAGCUGUGUGGUUUCGGCUGGACACCCAUCCUGAUGGCAGCUGCUGAGUUAGCAGGGCUCCGUGGGGUUACCUCCACUCCUUUGGAAAAAAGACCAGCCUUCCCCUUCUGAUGGGAUAUUGUUCAAUUUGGUGGAUUUCAAAAACAUUUAAGUGUUUUGAAGAAAGAAAAUGGGACUUUUUGAAAACCAAGGCACUUUGAUGUUUUCCUGAUACUCUGGAAGGAAUUGUAGGUUUUACUUAGUUUACAUGCCAGUUCAGCCCUGAACUAAAGGUAAAUUAGAAAGUUUUUGAAAUUGAUUUUAGAGGUCAUCAUAAUCAUCUGCUUUGUUCUGAGACUAGUUGUUCAUUUUUCCAAGAAAAUGAAGUUCCUUUUAUUACUAACUAAACAUACUACCAGAAUUCCUCUGCACUUUGUGAAAAUAUAAUGUCUGUAAAUAAGGUAAAGUUGUCAUGUCUUUUUUCGGGAUCCUUUUUAAGGAUCAUGUUAAUUCAGUUUUGCGCUUGAUUUGUUAUGAUGUUUAAAGGCAAGAUUUUAAGAAUCUUGUGUCUUGAAUGUUUUCAGAUGGGUUAAGACCUAGUUCCCUGGGAAGUACUAUCUAGAGUAUCCUUUGAAACAGUUCUGGGUUCGAGUGACUUGAGAAGAAAAUCCUCCCAGUGGGACAUAGACGGAAGCACUUUGCUGGAAGAAGGAAAGUCGUUCAUGCAGCACUGGGGCACCUGUGAGUGUUGGACAGAACGCUCGGAACAGAUUACGUUUUACAUCAAUACAAGAAUCUUAUUCUUAAAGGACGUUGGAACUCUGGAAAUGGCUCAAGUUGUGAAUGCUUUCCGCGGUUGCUCAGAUUAUCGGCUUGUGGCAUUCCUGUGUUAAGCCGUCCAUGAGCCAGGCUGUGGGUUCCCCUGUGACCUCAGCCAGGCGGCCCUGGUCUGCUGUUGGCCUUCUGGAUGGAGAACCACCCUUCGGCAUCGGCACCCUAAUGAUGUUGAUGGCUCCAUCUGAAACAAAACUGCCUUCUAGAUCAGCUCUGUUCUCUUCCUGAAAGCCUAACUGCUGAGUUUUAGAGCAACGCAGGAAGAAAACCUGAAUGGCCGGACAGAAGGAACCCCACACCAGAAUGAUUUUUAUUCGCAGAUGCUCUUGCAUCCUUGUGUUAACAUAACUCUGGAAAAUGGAUUGAUGUUGCCUUAUGACUUUGGAAGAUAUGUAUUAUUUAUUAUAAGAAACAACUACUUUAUUAUAGGAACAAAAUAAUAGUAUUUAUCACAAUGCAUUUGUCAUAUACCCUUGGAAUUUCUGUGAGUAACCACCUUAUCUGUGUGUUUCACAGAAUUGAUGUUUGUCCUUAAGAGGGUGGAACUCAACCCACAGACCAUCCCAGUUAUGACUUGGGUGUGUGUGUGCAACGGCGUAGUACCAAGUGCAUCCAUGUUUACUCUCCAGAGAGCUCACACUAGCCUGCUUCCUAGACUGUGCAGAGAAAGAGAGAUCAUAAUAUGCUUAAUGUGACUUUCCAGUAUAUGCGAUACAGAGUUGAAUUAGUUAACUAUAACAAUCUUAUGUUUUAUAUUAAAUUCCUUGUUACCCUCCUGGAAGGGAGUUUGACUAUAGCAAAAACUGUAACAAGUGAUCAUCAAAGAAGUGUUUAUAAAUUGAUUAUUACUUCCUAGUAAGCGUUAAUCACAACACGGUACCUCAAAAAUCUAUGAGAUGCAGCUACACCAUGCUUAGAAAUUUAUAGCUGCAAAUACUGUUAAAGAGAUUUUAAAUCAAUAGUCUAAGAUUCUACCUUAAAAAAAAUUAGAAAAAGAGAAGCAACAGAAGUCCAAAGGAAACAGAAGGAAAGAAUAAAGAUUAGUAUGGAAAUCAGUGAAAUAGGAAACAAAAACAAUGCGGAAGAAUCAACGAAACCAAUAGCUGGGUCUUCAAAAAGAUCCACAAGUUUGAGCUACAGUGACAGAGAAGACAUGAAUUGCCAUUACCAAGAACGAAAGAGGGGACAUUGCUAACAACUUUACAGAAGUUAGGGUUGUAAAUAAAUGCUGUGUACAACUUCAUGCCAACACACUGGACAAGUCAAGUGAGAUGGAAAAAUCUUAGACACAAGCUACCAAGAUGUAGUCAAGAAGAAAUGGAGGGUUUUAGUAGGCCUUUAACAAAUUGAAACAAAGCCAAGGGCCAGAUGGCUUCACUGGUGAAUGCCACCAAAUGUUGACAGAAGAAAUCAUGCCAAUCUUUUCACAGAUUUAGAAAAUAGAAGAGGGGUAUACUUAACUAGCUGUGUGCUCUGAGGCUCCUAUUACCCUGAUAGUAGGGCGAGACAAAAACGUAAUGAGAAUAUUGUGGACCGGUAUCCUUCAUGAAUUCUGAGUAUAGCUACAGAAACUUCAUCAACUCUAGUGACACACAGGCACAUCUCUGAGAUCCUGCAGGUUUCUUUCCAGAAGCCAGUAUCACAAUAAAGCGAAUCAAAUGAA